UCACCUGGUGAUCCUGUGAAUAUGGAGAUUCUGAUUCAGUGGGCCUGGAAUGGAGCCUGAGAUUCUGCAUUUCUAACAAGCUCCCAAGAGAUACC
RNAcentral lists this microRNA precursor (95 nucleotides) under Tupaia belangeri (northern tree shrew). RNAcentral's name for it is "miRNA (ENSTBEG00000020631.1)". Lineage: Eukaryota; Metazoa; Chordata; Mammalia; Scandentia; Tupaiidae. The record is from RNAcentral.